CAGGAGAAAGCCAGGAGUGUCUUGGGGCGUCUGGGGCCACUGCAGAACACGCAUGGUGUCGGGGGACUGCCCGGCUGAGGGGUCCAGGGAGGCGAGGACUGAGAACUGACUUUGGAGAAUGACCUUAGCAGCAUGGAGGUCACUGGUGACUGGACAAGAAGUCUGAGUGGCCAAGAGUCUACCAGGGGCAGAAGGGAGCUUGAGACAGCAGGAGUCUGUAACUUUUUCGACAGUUUUGCUGUGAGGAUGUAGAGAACAGAGAAGAUAGGACACUUACUCACGGGGUCGCUCAUCCAGGAAGUGGCGAAGUGCAGAGUGGGCCCAGGAGCUGAGACUGGCAACCACAGGGAGGCGCGCUGUCCCUAUAGAGAAUCUGACGCGCUCCGAGGGACGGCCAUGGGUCAGGCGUUUUAAGGGCGCGUGCCCUCGGCCAUUGUGGUUCAGCAUCUAGAACUUUACCCUGAGGAAUCAUGGAUGUAAACAAGCGUUCAUUGGAAAAGGUGUCUCCCAGUGUUUAUAACAGAAAACCUAGAUAGAAGCUGAAAGCCACUGACAGACGGUCAGAUGAGGAGUCUCUGAAAAUAAUAGUGUGAAACGUGACUAAUGCAGUGGAAGACCAACAUAACACAUAAAUGCCAAACCCGUCCCUACCGUGGUGCGUACAGCAAGGACCCAGUUCGCCCAGAGAGCACUCGAGACCGUGUCCAGAGUGCUGGUCAUCAGGAAAAUGGAAACCGCGGCUGCUCUCUCCUCCGUGGGAAGCGAUAGAAGCGAGCAAGCGCGUGGUGGAAACUCGCACUUUCUGAAAUAACUGUGCUUUGACUCGGAGGGGAAACAGGAAGCCCUUCUAUCUGUUUAGGUGAGUUUUUAUCUCUGCCGGUGGGGCCUGUCCUUUUAAGUUAUGUUUCUGCAAAAGUACUGGUUGAAUCUCUAGUGUGAACAGGAAGUCAGAUAUGCUGACUAACUUUUCCUUUAUUUUAACGGCGUUUUUUAUUGUUUUGAAAACGAAGGCAGAAAGCAGAGAGGCCGAAGCUGCCGCCUUGAGCCCUGGGGGCCU
Molecule: long non-coding RNA, 1057 nt
Filed under: Equus asinus (donkey)
Lineage: Eukaryota; Metazoa; Chordata; Mammalia; Perissodactyla; Equidae
Description: lncRNA (ENSEASG00005037458.1)
Source: RNAcentral